RNAcentral lists this ribosomal RNA (900 nucleotides) under Staphylococcus aureus. RNAcentral's name for it is "partial 23S ribosomal RNA". It matches the Rfam family "Bacterial large subunit ribosomal RNA", at positions 545 to 1452 of the family's 2925-position model. Lineage: Bacteria; Bacillati; Bacillota; Bacilli; Caryophanales; Staphylococcaceae. The record is from RNAcentral.
AGAACCUGAAACCGUGUGCUUACAAGUAGUCAGAGCCCGUUAAUGGGUGAUGGCGUGCCUUUUGUAGAAUGAACCGGCGAGUUACGAUUUGAUGCAAGGUUAAGCAGUAAAUGUGGAGCCGUAGCGAAAGCGAGUCUGAAUAGGGCGUUUAGUAUUUGGUCGUAGACCCGAAACCAGGUGAUCUACCCUUGGUCAGGUUGAAGUUCAGGUAACACUGAAUGGAGGACCGAACCGACUUACGUUGAAAAGUGAGCGGAUGAACUGAGGGUAGCGGAGAAAUUCCAAUCGAACCUGGAGAUAGCUGGUUCUCUCCGAAAUAGCUUUAGGGCUAGCCUCAAGUGAUGAUUAUUGGAGGUAGAGCACUGUUUGGACGAGGGGCCCCUCUCGGGUUACCGAAUUCAGACAAACUCCGAAUGCCAAUUAAUUUAACUUGGGAGUCAGAACAUGGGUGAUAAGGUCCGUGUUCGAAAGGGAAACAGCCCAGACCACCAGCUAAGGUCCCAAAAUAUAUGUUAAGUGGAAAAGGAUGUGGCGUUGCCCAGACAACUAGGAUGUUGGCUUAGAAGCAGCCAUCAUUUAAAGAGUGCGUAAUAGCUCACUAGUCGAGUGACACUGCGCCGAAAAUGUACCGGGGCUAAACAUAUUACCGAAGCUGUGGAUUGUCCUUUGGACAAUGGUAGGAGAGCGUUCUAAGGGCGUUGAAGCAUGAUCGUAAGGACAUGUGGAGCGCUUAGAAGUGAGAAUGCCGGUGUGAGUAGCGAAAGACGGGUGAGAAUCCCGUCCACCGAUUGACUAAGGUUUCCAGAGGAAGGCUCGUCCGCUCUGGGUUAGUCGGGUCCUAAGCUGAGGCCGACAGGCGUAGGCGAUGGAUAACAGGUUGAUAUUCCUGUACCACCUAUA